Non-coding RNA from Musa acuminata subsp. malaccensis (wild Malaysian banana), 1585 nucleotides. The record is from RefSeq and is a predicted model, not a curated record. NCBI's taxonomy places the organism in Eukaryota, Viridiplantae, Streptophyta, Magnoliopsida, Zingiberales, Musaceae.
CAGCAUGAGAGUAAGAGCUAGCCUACAUGCAAGUUGUGCAGCAUGCAACAAAAAGGAUACGUUUGUGUUUGCUCCUAAAAGAGGGAUUGUAGUGAUGGAAUCACUGCCGUUGUUCCUUCUGCGCUCGUUGUGCCCGGGCAACUGCCUUCUGCAGCUCCUCUCGGACUCGUCGAACUCUCGGAGAUCACAUGAAUCCUGCAUCAUGUUUCAAGUCAAAAAGAAAACCUGUGAGUUCUAUCGAGGUCUUCAGUUCAACUUCUCACUACAUCGGUGGCGGAAGAACCUGCUGCACUGCUGACAGAAGCGCUCGGUGUUAGACUCCGAGCACCACGGCUCUUGGAGUUUUGGAGUGCAGCUCGCACUCCUCCGCCCGAAACUGUCCACCUGGAACCUCGGCAGUCGAAGAACCAGCAGCGGGCGGCAGCCGGGGUAUAUGCCUGUGCUGGGCUGCAGCAUAGUAACAAGAGGACGAGCCAAAUAUGUGAAGGAGACCACCAGUUCCCGAGCUCCCAGAAGUCCCAUAACGGGACUCUGUCUUUUCCGUGUUGCUCUCCCAUUCUCCAUCACUCCUGCAGCUGCUACUGCUACAAGUCACAAGCUGUUUCACUUUCUCGGACACACGGAUAACGGCGACUGCCUUCACCGUAAAAAGACGCACAUCACGCAGAGGACAUUUGCCAUGGGCUGAGACGUGUUCGCUUAAUGGGCCGGUCCUGGAUUACCAAAUCUUGAUCCGCAACCAAUUGGAUGGGUGACGAUCACCCCUAUAAUUACCAUUUUAGCCUCUACCGGGUCGCUUUUCUCCCACGACCGCGGAUAGGCCCCGCAAGCUCUCCCAGUCUCGGCGAAACCCUAACCCCAGUCGAAUUCGCUAGUUUCGUCGAAUGGCGUCGAGUUGCGUGCGAUCCAUGAGCCGCCGUAUCGCUCUGUCUUGCCUCGGGUCACUCGGUGUCAGAUCGAGACCCGUCGCCGCCGCUCCGUGUCCGAUCCGCCGCUUCUCUACCCUCUCCAGGAUUCCUGUCGAGUUGGGGUGCUGCGGCGGCUCCCUGUUCCCGUUGCACAGCGCGGUGGCGGCGGCGAGGCUGACGUCGCGUUUGAGCGCCACCUCCCGCGGCGGCCGGACUCUCUCACAGGAUCACAUUGAUGGUACAUGAAGCAAAAUUGCUUCAUCCUUUUGCUAUUUUCAAAGAGACGGGUCAUUCGGUCGGAAGGUGAUUCUUGAAGUCUGACCACAGCCGGAGUGUCUUUUACCUGCUCAGGGAGGUGGGAGGUGCACGAAUUUGUAGAACUCGGACGUCGAUGAGUUCAAAUUUUACAGAAAAAAGGAUGUUAAAUAAUUGCUGAAUUCAGAGUACCUCAUUUCAUAACUGACCUUAUAUCUUCUAUUGUGCUGUAUUUUUCUCCCAUCCAUAAUUUUAGUAUGGUAUGCUUACGAACCUGUCAGCUUGAAUUAGGUUUCUCUCCAAUUUCAAUUUCAGGAGAAUAAAGGAACUUGAAAUCUAUGGAUAACUGAAAUGGAGAAUUCAUUACUUUAGUUGCUAUUGAAAAUUAGUACUAGGCAAUUUUUUAGAACUAUAGUUAUUGA